Long non-coding RNA from Acinonyx jubatus (cheetah), 1177 nucleotides. RefSeq lists it as uncharacterized. The record is from RefSeq and is a predicted model, not a curated record. NCBI's taxonomy places the organism in Eukaryota, Metazoa, Chordata, Mammalia, Carnivora, Felidae. The transcript has 4 exons.
UCCGUGAAGACGUACGCUGCCGCGCUCCAGUCGCCUUAGGCCUGGGGCUUCCUCGGGUGUUUCCGGGUGGCCGACCUCCAAGUUACCCUCGAUCCCCUCUCCCUCAUCUCCAGAUACACUAGGGUUUCAUAACACCACUGCUGUUACUCCCAAACGCUGAUAGAGCCGUUUGCCCCAAAUAAGAUUUAGAUCGUAAACUCAUUACUUAAUCCUCGAGAACGGUUAGACUGGAACUAAAGCAUCGUGUUUACAGACGAGCUUCAGAGUUGCUCCCAAGGUCACUGAGCUGUGGGUGACCAAACUGCCACCAGAUUGUACCCGCCCACGUCUCACACUACGGAAAAGCCCGAUCCUGGAAAGUCGGCCCAACUCUGGCUGGUUUCCCGCCUCUCACCCAAACUGCAGGAUUUGGCAGAGAAGGGUGGCGUCAUCAUCCCGGACCCUUGAAAGGUUUAUUAGAAACUCAAACGCAAAUGAGACCGGCCAGGCCAUCUGGACGCUGACCUUUACCAAAUAACAGUAAAAAGAAAUUUCUGAAAAGAAUUAGUUUAAAUUCUGGGCCCCCAAACAAAUGCCAGGAAGGGAAAACAGAGCCUCAAGAAUAAUUCACUACUGGGAGAGAAAUACCUCAAUCGUGCUCGAAAAACCCCUCCCUCUCUGGAACAAUUCUAGAACCACAUGAAGCUGUCAGAGGGACAUGUCAAUAUUUCUUGGUAGGGACAAGGAAUGGAGAUCAUACGUUGUGUCCCAUCUUACAGUGGUGCCUUCCGUUGCCCAAAGCCCCUGGGAAACCUGAGGACAAGAGAGCUGAGUGAUGCAAGCUUAGAAUCAGCCUCACAGCAACAGAACAGGGCAGAGAAGACCAGAAAACUGAUUCAGGGCUGUGUUAUCCAAUAAAGCAGCCACUGGACAAACACAACUAUUUGAGUCCAAAAAAAAAUUUUUUAAGCAGGAAGUCUAUGUUGUUGUUGUUUUUUUAAUGUUUAUUUAUUUUUGAGAGAGAGAGAGAGAGAGAGGGAGAGAGACACAGAAUCCAAAACAGGCUCCAGGCUCUGAACUGUCAGCACAGAGCCCCACGUAGGGCUCCAACUCAUGAGCCAUGAGCUCAUGACCUGAGCCGAAGCCCGAUGCUUAACUGACUGAGCUACCCAGGCGCCCCAUUUGAGUCCAAAUUAGC